UACAGAGGUCUCAAGCGUUGUUCGGAUUCAUUGGGCGUAAAGGGUGCGUAGGCGGCGCGGUAAGUCGGGUGUGAAAUCUCGGGGCUUAACUCCGAAACUGCAUUCGAUACUGCCGUGCUUGAGGACUGGAGAGGAGACUGGAAUUUACGGUGUAGCGGUGAAAUGCGUAGAUAUCGUAAGGAAGACCAGUGGCGAAGGCGAGUCUCUGGACAGUUACUGACGCUGAGGCACGAAGGCCAGGGGAGCAAACGGG
This 253-nucleotide ribosomal RNA is filed under the name uncultured bacterium. Its description in RNAcentral is "partial 16S ribosomal RNA". It matches the Rfam family "Bacterial small subunit ribosomal RNA", at positions 524 to 776 of the family's 1533-position model. The record is from RNAcentral.